This 468-nucleotide ribosomal RNA is filed under the name uncultured bacterium. Its description in RNAcentral is "partial 16S ribosomal RNA". It matches the Rfam family "Bacterial small subunit ribosomal RNA", at positions 28 to 507 of the family's 1533-position model. The record is from RNAcentral.
GACGAACGCUGGCGGCGUGCUUAACACAUGCAAGUCGAACGGAAAGGCCCUGCUUUUGUGGGGUUCUCGAGUGGCGAACGGGUGAGUAACACGUGAGUAACCUGCCCUUGACUGUGUGAGAACUUCAGGGAACUGGGGCUAAUACCGGAUAGGAGCUCCUGCUGCAUGUUGGUGGUUGGAAAGUGUCGGCUGUUGGGGAUGGACUCGCGGCUUAUCAGCUUGUUUGUGGGGUAGGGGCUUACCAAGGCUUUGACGGGUAGCCGGCCUGGGAGGGUUGACGGCCACAUUGGGACUGCGAUACGGACCAGAAUGCUAUGGGAGGCAGCAGGGGGGAAUAUUGCAGAAUGGGCGGAAGCGUGAUGCAGAAACGCCGCGUGCGGGAAGACGGGCUUCGGGUUGUAAACAGCUUUGUAAUGUGCCGAAGCGUGAGUGACGGUAAUGGGUCAAGAAGCACCGGCUAACUACGUG